GGACUACACGGGUUUCUAAUCCUGUUUGCUCCCCUUGCUUUCGGGCAUGAGCGUCAGGAAUAAGCUAGAAAACCGCUUUCGCCACAGGUGUUCUUCCACAUAUCUACGCAUUUCACCGCUACAUGUGGAAUUCCGUUUUCUCCGCCUAUCCUCUAGUAAAGUAGUUUCGAAUGCGUGUCCGGGGUUGAGCCCCGGGAUUUCACAUCCGACUUACUUUGCCGCCUGCGCCCCCUUUACGCCCAAUAAAUCCGAUUAAUGCUUGCACCCUACGUAUUACCGCGGCUGCUGGCAC
This 292-nucleotide ribosomal RNA is filed under the name uncultured bacterium. Its description in RNAcentral is "partial 16S ribosomal RNA". The record is from RNAcentral.